AACGAACGCUGGCGGCAUGCCUAACACAUGCAAGUCGAACGAGACCUUCGGGUCUAGUGGCGCACGGGUGCGUAACGCGUGGGAACCUGCCCUUAGGUUCGGAAUAACUCCCCGUCAGGGGUGCUAAUACCGGAUAAUGUCUUCGGACCAAAGAUUUAUCGCCUUUGGGUGGGCCCGCGUUGGUUUAGCUUGUUGGUAGGGUAAAAGCCUACCAAGGCGACGAUCCAUAGCUGGUCUGAGAGGAUGAUCAGCCACACUGGGACUGAGACACGGCCCAGACUCCUACGCGAGGCAGCAGUGGGGAAUAUUGGACAAUGGGCGAAAGCCUGAUCCAGCAAUGCCGCGUAAGUGAUGAAGGCCUUAGGGUUGUAAAGCUCUUUUACCCGGGAUGAUAAUGACAGUACCGGGAGAAUAAGCACCGGCUAACUCCGUG
RNAcentral lists this ribosomal RNA (433 nucleotides) under uncultured bacterium. Its description in RNAcentral is "partial 16S ribosomal RNA". It matches the Rfam family "Bacterial small subunit ribosomal RNA", at positions 29 to 507 of the family's 1533-position model. The record is from RNAcentral.